Molecule: long non-coding RNA, 3401 nt
Filed under: Suricata suricatta (meerkat)
Lineage: Eukaryota; Metazoa; Chordata; Mammalia; Carnivora; Herpestidae
Description: lncRNA (ENSSSUG00005019443.1)
Source: RNAcentral
AUGCUCCUCCGAGCCGCCCGCCCGGCGCGCCCUCCGGAACGCGCGGACACCCCCACCGUGUCACCAGGCGGCGCGUCCUCCCGGCCCCCGCCGCCCUCGCCUACCUUCUGGCGGCCUCUCCGUCGCGCCCGCACCGCCGGCCGCCCGCCUCCGGCGCUCUGCAAAGCGAAAGGGGACGCUUUGUUAGGGCUCAAGAAACGGGACAAUACUUCGCAGCCGGCGCCGCGGUUCCGGGCGGGCGUCCUUCAAAANNNNNNNNNNNNNNNNNNNNNNNNNNNNNNNNNNNNNNNNNNNNNNNNNNNNNNNNNNNNNNNNNNNNNNNNNNNNNNNNNNNNNNNNNNNNNNNNNNNNCCCGUGGCGCCGGGGCGGCCGAGGGAGGAGGGCCGAGCGGUUUCCCGGCCCCCGCGGGGUCCGUCCCCCGGCCCCCACCUGGACAGGGACUGUGCCCCAGGUCCCGGGGACUGCUCAGUCUCUGCCAUGGGAGCCUCAUGCUACUGGUUUUCUCUCCAAGCAUCCCUUUUACCUGCAAGAAUCCUUAAGGCUGCGAUUGCUCCUGGAAGCCAUGGGCUGUGAGAGGUGGCAUUCAUUCCCUAUGGAGAAAGGUCAGAAUUGGUGGGGGUUGUAUGAUUUGAGAAACACAAGAUACUCUUUCUUUUUUUUUUUUUUUAGCAUAUAGUGCAACAAUGAUUUUAUUUUUUUUAAUAUUUUAUUGUCAAAUUGUUUUCCAUACAACACCCAGUGCUCUUCCCCUCAAGUGCCCUCCAUCAUCACCACCACCUCUCUUCCCCCCUCCCCCCUCCCCCCAACCCUCAGUUCAUUCUCAGCAUUCAGUAGUCUCUCAAGUUCUGUAUCCCUCUCUCUCCCCAACUUUCUCUCCCUCCUCCGCUCCCUCUGGUUCUCCAUUAGGUCUCUCUUGUUUUCCUGCUAGACCUAUGAGUGCAAACAUAUGGCAAGAUACUCUUUCUUGAGAGGGGUGAAGGAGGUGGAGUUAAUGCUGGAUCUAGAAACUUGAAAUCACAUCCAACCACCAGUCUUGCUGCAAAGAAGGAGAGUAUGUGAGGCAUGAGCACUUGGUGGUGCAGCUUUGCAAGGUCAGCCCCAAUAAGGCAGAUAAUUUAACACCAUGUGCCUGCAAUUUAGGUUACACAGGGUGGAAGGUUAAUCUUGUUACAGUCUAGAGUCACUGGAAAACAAAGACUUACCUUAGAACGAAUCACGUAAGCUUUUCUCUGUUAAGAAAAAAUGAAGAUAACAGCAGAAAUAGUAGCUAAGCUCCAAUUCUACAUUAUAUACAAUAGGAGGAAAAAUGAAAAGAAGCAUAAACAUUUACCCAGCCUUCACAAGCCACAUUUCACUUUUAUCUGUUGCAGUUUAUCUGCCUCUGAUAUCAACUCCCACAAAGAGCCUUGUUCAAGGACUCAGGAUCCUUAAAAUGUUUGUAGGUGAUGUUUUCAAGUGGCAUUUCUCCAACAUUUUUCAGUAUUGGACUGGCUUUCUCAAGUGGCUAAAAGCUCUAAAAAGUUAACCAAAGAAUAAUCUAGGGAAGAGAAAGUUAUUCUUGUUUCUUCUUGAAGUAACUAUGUAAUGAUUAGUUUAGAGUCAGGGCAACAAAAAUCUUUUUCUUUUUUUUUUUUAAAGAAGAAAGAGAAAAUGCAGGCUUUGUAAAUUUCCUGGAAUCUACAAAGUUAUAUACAUACACACAUACAGUAUAUACACAUGUGUGUGUGUAUGUGUGUGUGUGUGUGUGUGUGUGUGUGUGUAUUUUUUUUUCUGGACAAGGAAAGCUAAUAGUUCAAACCAAACUCAGUCUACCCUAACCCAAAGUCACAAUUGGGUAUAAGUUAUUCCUUAUAGUACAGUAAACAAACAAAAACAACAACAAAACAACACCUCUUCUGUCACUCCAUAGAACUCCCAGCUGCUUCUACACUUGUUUAAUAAAUAUUUUUCUUAUUUCCCUCACCAUGUGAACUAAUCAGAACCAUCUUCAGGUAAGUUGCAAAACUGCCUCAGGUGGUGCUCAGUGGUUAAAGCAGAUUUUUAGUUAUAGUCCAAGCUAGGGACUGUUUGGAUGAAAGGGACAUCAUAUUCUCCCCAAGAACCUAAGGAAAUGGGUGGUGAAAGGAGGAAAGGGGAAAUUUGGAAAUUUGGGUUCCAUCCAGGUGUGUAAGUCAAAGGCUAGGAGAAAGUUUCAGUGACAAAAUGGUGGUGGUAAGAAGCCAGGAAGAAAGGAGAUAAGCACAGAAAAGGGACAGGAAGUAGACAGAAGGCAAACUAUUUACACUUUUGCCCCUGAAGGAUGCUCAUUUGGAAUUAGGGUUCUCCAUUUUCCCUCAUGAAAUAUAUGAAAGAAGAGGAUACAUGGAUUCAGCACAAUUUAUUAUUAUUUUUUAAAUAAGCACGGAGUACCUAGUCUGUGCUACUACUGUCCUGGAAACCAUGAGAUAUUCAAAAUAACAUCCUCCUUGGCUCUGCCCUUGAAUGUUUCAUUCUCCCUUGGGAAGCAAGCAACAUGCACAGGAGAGGGUAAGGGAAUAAUGAGAGGUAGCACAGGAUUCUAAUCUAAUCCAGUUGGGAAGAUACAGACAUACAGCAUGACAGGGAAGAGAGGGAUGAGUCCCCAAAACAUGGCUUCUGUCAGGUCAUUCAGCCCAUGGUCUUCCAUGUCAGGUGCUGGAUCUCCUUCCUGAUAGGCAAAGCAUCUACCUGAUCCUGCAGGUGAAUGGACGCUCAGUGUCUCCACACAGCCUAUCCUCCUACUCGACUCUGAUGGGCCUCUGAAUCUUCCCGUGCUGCUCUCUGCCCAGCUCAUCAGACCUCAGGCAUAGUUGAUAUCCUGUCUCUGUCUGCCACCUUUCAUUGGACCCAAUGACUAAGGCACAACGGGAAGUGGUUCUUGGCCAUGUGCUUUCUGGAGCUCACAAAUCGAGCAUUUUGGUGUUUCCCAAACACUUGGUGGGCACUCACGUGAAGAAGAGAGGUGGCCUGUGUGUCUGGAGCAGGGGAGACCUGCUCUUCACUUGGGUGGGCAUCGAUUUUCAUGUUUCUGUAAUCUGGAAAUGUUCUAUUCUAAAAACUAUAUGUGCUUGAAGAUGGACACUCCAGCUCCACUCAAAGUCAAAGAAAAUGAAAUUCUAGUUUAAGAAACAUUGGUGUUCCUUCCCCUCACGCUCUCUUAAACACUUAGCCAAAAUGACAUGACAACUUUACCUUUUUUAGAAAAAGACCUUUGAAUGGAAAAUGAUAAAAUAUUUUUUCCCAAGCAAGACUCGUUUCAGUUUUUUAAGAAUUUGAUGUACAUCCAGAAGACAUGGGAACCCAGAAGCCUCUAUUUUAAAAUAGGUAACUAACAACUAAAUAAAUUUUAAAAACAGUUCUGUCCAAUAGAAAUGUAAUACAAG